UUUAAAAUCUGGCAGUCUCUGGCUGUCCGAGUUGUAAUCUAGAGAAGUAAUGCCCGUGCUGGACCGUGUAUAAGUCUCCUGGGAUGGGGCGUCAUAGAGGGUGAGAAUCCCGUCUUUGACACGGACUACCAGUGCAUUGUGGUAUGCUCUCAAAGAGUCGAGUUGUUUGGGAAUGCAGCUCAAAAUGGGUGGUAAAUUCCAUCUAAAGCUAAAUAUUGGCGAGAGACCGAUAGCGAACAAGUACCGUGAGGGAAAGAUGAAAAGAACUUUGGAAAGAGAGUUAAACAGUACGUGAAAUUGCUGAAAGGGAAACGCUUGAAGUCAGUCGCGUUGACUGGAAAUCAGCCUUGCUUUUGCAUGGUGUACUUUCUGGUUGACGGGUCAGCAUCAAUUUUGACCGCUGGAAAAAGGCCUGGGGAAUGUGGCAGCUUCGGCUGUGUUAUAGCCCCUAGUCACAUACAGUGGUUGGGAUUGAGGAACUCAGCACGCCGCAAGGCCGGGUUUCGACCACGACCGUGCUUAGGAUGCUGGCAUAAUGGCUUUAAGCGACCCGUCUUGAAACACGGACCAAGGAGUCUAACAUGCCUGCGAGUAUUUGGGUGGAAAACUCAAGUGCGUAAUGAAAGUGAAAGUUGAGAUCCCUGUCGUGGGGAGCAUCGACGCCCGGACCAGAACUUUUGGGACGGAUCCGCGGUGGAGCAUGUAUGUUGGGACCCGAAAGAUGGUGAACUAUGCCUGAAUAGGGUGAAGCCAGAGGAAACUCUGGUGGAGGCUCGUAGCGAUUCUGACGUGCAAAUCGAUCGUCAAAUUUGGGUAUAGGGGCGAAAGACUAAUCGAACCAUCUAGUAGCUGGUUCCUGCCGAA
This 864-nucleotide ribosomal RNA is filed under the name Agaricus luteofibrillosus. Its description in RNAcentral is "eukaryotic LSU rRNA". It matches the Rfam family "Eukaryotic large subunit ribosomal RNA", at positions 114 to 965 of the family's 3401-position model. Lineage: Eukaryota; Fungi; Basidiomycota; Agaricomycetes; Agaricales; Agaricaceae. The record is from RNAcentral.